AUGCCUUUACUGAUUGAAGGAGAAAAUUGCUACCAAGGAGAAAACAUAAGGUAUGUAAUUUUGAAGUACCAAUUUAGAGGUGCAGUUUUGUGUUUUCUUCCAUUGGGCAUUUUACAAUUUGUUCAUGAAUUUGCACAUGCUAACUAUAAGCAGAUGAAUAUCUUGUGGAGAAAACAGAGGGUGUAUACAAAUGAGUUCAUGCUCUUGUCAGUUUUUCUUUGUGGAAUUACCAUGUCGGCGCUGGUGGCAUUGAACAUGUCGACGAUGGGGGCAGUGCCAUCCUUGAUGAUUCAGUUCAGGAUCUCCCACUUGGCGGCGUCCUUGGCGCUGUAG
This 333-nucleotide ribosomal RNA is filed under the name Triticum aestivum (bread wheat). RNAcentral's name for it is "partial small subunit ribosomal RNA". The record is from RNAcentral. Lineage: Eukaryota; Viridiplantae; Streptophyta; Magnoliopsida; Poales; Poaceae.